GACGAACGCUGGCGGCGUGCCUAAUACAUGCAAGUUGAGCGCUGAAGGUUGGUACUUGUACCAACUGGAUGAGCAGCGAACGGGUGAGUAACGCGUGGGGAAUCUGCCUUUGAGCGGGGGACAACAUUUGGAAACGAAUGCUAAUACCGCAUAAAAACUUUAAACACAAGUUUUAAGUUUGAAAGAUGCAAUCGCAUCACUCAAAGAUGAUCCCGCGUUGUAUUAGCUAGUUGGUGAGGUAAAGGCUCACCAAGGCGAUGAUACAUAGCCGACCUGAGAGGGUGAUCGGCCACGUUGGGACUGAGACACGGCCCAAACUCCUACGGGAGGCAGCAGUAGGGAAUCUUCGGCAAUGGACGAAAGUCUGACCGAGCAACGCCGCGUGAGUGAAGAAGGUUUUCGGAUCGUAAAACUCUGUUGGUAGAGAAGAACGUUGGUGAGAGUGGAAAGCUCAUCAAGUGACGGUAACUACCCAGAAAGGGACGGCUAACUACGUG
This 497-nucleotide ribosomal RNA is filed under the name uncultured bacterium. RNAcentral's name for it is "partial 16S ribosomal RNA". It matches the Rfam family "Bacterial small subunit ribosomal RNA", at positions 28 to 507 of the family's 1533-position model. The record is from RNAcentral.